CCUUACAGCUCUGAAGAGUACGGUUUAUUCAUCUGUCAGAGUGUAUGCACUUCUUGCCAGUGUAUCACUUAUAUCUUUUUUCUCCAAACCAGAAAAAACCCUGUAUUUUUAGGAAGACGGAGCAAGCCCUUAAAUACAAAUCAGCUGAUUGUCAGUCUGUUCUCCAUUUUCUAUCUCCUUCAACCACAUUGCUUCAUACUUGCCUUUAAGUUAAACCUGUCCAAUGAGCUUUUGCUCUCUGUGACAGACUUACAGAAAACAGACUAAGCGAUUUAUCCUCUCACGCUGCAAGCCAGGCGGCUCCUCCAAGCAGAUGUAUGACAGCCAUGGGAGCUAAGUGCAGCCCAUAGACACUCGAAGGCAGCAGUGAGCAUGAUUCAGGGGAAAUGGAAGCUCCCCUGCAUGUUGAAGGACCAGAAAAGGGCAGGUGCUCAUGUACUGUGGUGUAAUUCUAUUCAUUCACUGUGCAAAGUAUGUGGUUAAUGAGCAUUACAUAUUACUGCUAAAGCAGUUUGUCCUCUUGUGCUCUGCAGUGAAGGCUCAGACUGCUCCUCCACUUUCCCCAACACACACCUGCAUUAUGCCCACACAGAAUCGUGGAAUCAAAGAUAUACAUCAUAGACAUACAGCACUCCCCCAGCCUAGGAAGGUGAGAUGCAAGAGGAGAUGUAGCACAGACUGUGAGCAGACCACGUUUCCAAUUGCUAAGAUGCUUGUCAAACUUUAAGCACCAUGCCAGCACACCGAGUAUGCGGCCCGCAGGGAAUAACCAUGGAAUCAGAAAUGAGGAGGCAGGGAGGACUGCA
Long non-coding RNA from Gallus gallus (chicken), 806 nucleotides. The record is from Ensembl. NCBI's taxonomy places the organism in Eukaryota, Metazoa, Chordata, Aves, Galliformes, Phasianidae.